RNAcentral lists this transfer RNA (77 nucleotides) under Colobopsis nipponica. RNAcentral describes it as "tRNA-Gly". Lineage: Eukaryota; Metazoa; Arthropoda; Insecta; Hymenoptera; Formicidae. The record is from RNAcentral.
AUUUAUAUAGUAUAAAUAUAAUUACAUUUAAUUUCCAAUUAAAAAAUUUAAUAAACUUAAAUAUAUUAAUAUAAAUA